RNAcentral lists this transfer RNA (74 nucleotides) under Patescibacteria group bacterium. Its description in RNAcentral is "tRNA-Ala". It matches the Rfam family "tRNA". Rfam says of the family: Transfer RNA (tRNA) molecules are approximately 80 nucleotides in length. Their secondary structure includes four short double-helical elements and three loops (D, anti-codon, and T loops). The record is from RNAcentral.
GGGCUCGUAGUUCAGUUGGCUAGAACGUUGCGCUGGCAGUGCAAAGGUCAGGGGUUCGAGUCCCCUCGAGUCCA